Molecule: non-coding RNA, 207 nt
Organism: Chelonoidis abingdonii (Abingdon island giant tortoise)
Lineage: Eukaryota; Metazoa; Chordata; Testudines; Testudinidae
Source: RefSeq, a predicted model, not a curated record
AUUUUUAAAUUUGUUAUAGCUUUUACUUGUACUUCUAAGUAUACUGGUGUAUGAGCAUUUUCUUGUGCCAACUGUUGCUAUAAGAUAUAUACAAACCCAUCUUCUGUUGUCACAUAAGCAUAUGUUACUGGAUCAUUGUAUACAUUGUUCCACCCACCAAGACUCAGAUUAAUGAAUUUCCCUUCAAUAAAUUUAUUCCACUACUUC